CUGGUGUACAAUUUCAUACUCAACAUACGAACCGUCCGAGGAAGUUACUGUACCGACGAUCUGGAUUUCAGUUGAAUAACCACUUCCUCCCGAGUCGCUGGAUAUAACUUCAGGUUUCUCUUCGUAAGAAUCGUCUUGUGCCAUACUUCUUUAAUCGAUUUAAUGGAGAAAGAAAUGUAGCUAGUUCGUCAUAUAAGUCAUGGCUUUGCAGACUGGAUUGUAUUUCGUUGUAAUAUGAUAGAGAUCGCAAAUCAAUAUACUUAUAACUACGUUAUACUGUAUAUGAGAAUGGAUUAGAUAGCGUUAUACUGAAUGCAUUGUAAAAUGGGUUUCCAUAAGGUCA
This is a non-coding RNA of Schizosaccharomyces pombe (fission yeast), 343 nucleotides long. Lineage: Eukaryota; Fungi; Ascomycota; Schizosaccharomycetes; Schizosaccharomycetales; Schizosaccharomycetaceae. The record is from the annotation of a GenBank genome assembly.